Molecule: ribosomal RNA, 279 nt
Filed under: uncultured bacterium
Lineage: Bacteria
Description: partial 16S ribosomal RNA
Rfam family: Bacterial small subunit ribosomal RNA
Source: RNAcentral
UGCCAGCCGCCGCGGUAAUACGAAGGGUGCAAGCGUUGUUCGGAUUUAUUGGGCGUAAAGAGCUCGUAGGCGGAUUGAUAAGUCAGAUGUGAAAUCUCGGGGCUUAACCCCGAAACUGCGUCUGAAACUGUUAGUCUAGAAUCUCGGAGAGGUGAGGGGAAUUUCGCAUGUAGGGGUAAAAUCCGUAGAGAUGCGAAGGAACAUCGGAGGCGAAGGCGCCUCACUGGACGAGUAUUGACGCUGAGGAGCGAAAGCGUGGGUAGCAAACAGGAUUAGAUA